AUCUACUUAAAAAACCUUUGAAUUUGACCAUGCCAGUUAGAGAUGACCAGGWAGAGGUGGUUUGGAAUCGGGUAGACAGUGAUGUGGUUGUAUUAAGUAGUCUUUCUAUGAUGUUGUAAGUAGAGUUUUUUGGAGGUGAUGAAACUCUAGGAAAAAGUGAUUUAGUAAGUAAUACGACAAUUAAUGUGAGACUUUUAAUAUUGGUCUAACUUUGUUUAUAUUUUUUUCGCCAGCUAUAUACAAUCAGAGUAUCAUAUUUGCUAAAGUGUAGUGCAUUUACCUUAAAUUCUGAUCAUGSGAGCUAUAGGAGCCGCUGGUGCAGAGGCAACCAGCGAUCUGUCACUUGCUCCAUAUAUCGUACAACUCUCUCAGUACCAAUCCACAGAUAAUCCCGGCCAAGAAGACCAGUAUCGAGUGACGCCUGGAGGAUUUUUUCGGUAUCUUUUCCAUCGCAAACCAAUACUAUUACUUUGAUAGAAAGACUUUUGAUGCUUUCAAGAAUGUGCAAAAUUUGCGUUUUACUAACAACUCCUUGCGUUUUUGUUAAAUUAAAUAGAAUAAACUGUUGAGAGUGA
Molecule: long non-coding RNA, 575 nt
Organism: Exaiptasia diaphana
Lineage: Eukaryota; Metazoa; Cnidaria; Anthozoa; Actiniaria; Aiptasiidae
Exons: 2
Source: RefSeq, a predicted model, not a curated record